GCUGGUAUAUAUUUUGGAAGUUAAAAAACAUUUGUAUAUAUAUAAUGGUGUAAUUUCAAAUGUUACAUCAUAAUAAAAAAAAUAUCAGCAAAAUAAAAGCAAAAUAAAAUGUUCCAAAAAGAAAAUUAUAAACAAUAAUUAAAAAUUGCAGUCAUACAACUGAAAAGGGUUAAAUAAUGUUAAUCUAAAAGUUAAAUAGUAUAUUUCAUAACAAGUAAUGCAUCAUGAAUAAUAUUAUCACAGACUUUGAGACAAAAUGGAUGGGAUGGAUGAUGGAGUAUGCUAAAAAUUCUUGGUUAAAUUUGAUUUUGUGUCACAGUUGAGGACAUAACAAGUUUACCCUUUCAAUAUAUGUAUUUCUAGUUUUUCUUCCAUUAAUGGAAAAACAUAUUUUCACAUUGAUUUUGUCUGUCACUGCAGUAUAUAAUAAUUUACCCCUCAAAUAUAUGAAUUUCAACUUUGCAUAUAAUUGUAUGAAGCAUAUUAUUUUCCAUUUAAUAUUUAAUCAAUAUAUGAAUUUUCAACUUUGUUCUCAGUUAUAUGAAAUACAUGUAAAUUAUUUUGCCAUGCAAUUUUUGUGAAAUAAGAGUAGAUGGUAGGUGUCCCAGAUCAAAUGCGAUGUGUUUUCCAAUGUUAUUUAUGUAAGACAAUGACGCCCAAAAAGUUCAGUCAGAGUAAAACUUUUGAAUCUUUAAUUUAUUUAUUGCACACACAAAAAGUAUCUAAAUUUAAUAUAAAAAAGACCUAAUACAAUGUAUAUUCAAGUAUUAAAAAAAAUGGUUUAUUAUGCAUUAAAAAAAUACAAGAAAUCUCUUUAAGGAAUGGUG
This 827-nucleotide long non-coding RNA is filed under the name Mytilus galloprovincialis (Mediterranean mussel). The record is from RNAcentral. Lineage: Eukaryota; Metazoa; Mollusca; Bivalvia; Mytilida; Mytilidae.